This 490-nucleotide ribosomal RNA is filed under the name uncultured bacterium. RNAcentral describes it as "partial 16S ribosomal RNA". It matches the Rfam family "Bacterial small subunit ribosomal RNA", at positions 30 to 507 of the family's 1533-position model. The record is from RNAcentral.
AUUGAACGCUGACGGCAGGCCUAACACAUGCAAGUCGAACGGUAACAGGAAACAGCUUGCUGUUUCGCUGACGAGUGGCGGACGGGUGAGUAAUGUCUGGGAAACUGCCUGAUGGAGGGGGAUAACUACUGGAAACGGUAGCUAAUACCGCAUAACGUCGCAAGACCAAAGAGGGGGACCCUCGGGCCUCUUGCCAUCGGAUGUGCCCAGAUGGGAUUAGCUUGUUGGUGGGGUAACGGCUCACCAAGGCGACGAUCCCUAGCUGGUCUGAGAGGAUGACCAGCCACACUGGAACUGAGACACGGUCCAGACUCCUACGGGAGGCAGCAGUGGGGAAUAUUGCACAAUGGGCGCAAGCCUGAUGCAGCCAUGCCGCGUGUAUGAAGAAGGCCUUCGGGUUGUAAAGUACUUUCAGCGGGGAGGAAGGGAGUAAAGUUAAUACCUUUGCUCAUUGACGUUACCCGCAGAAGAAGCACCGGCUAACUCCGUG